GGUCCCAUAGCUCAGUUGGUUAGAGCGUCGUACUAAUAUUAUAGCAACCCGCCUGUAAUGUCAGUGAAUGCGAAGGCCGUGAGUUCAAGCCUCACUGGGACCA
This is a non-coding RNA of Xylaria intraflava, 103 nucleotides long. NCBI's taxonomy places the organism in Eukaryota, Fungi, Ascomycota, Sordariomycetes, Xylariales, Xylariaceae. The record is from the annotation of a GenBank genome assembly.